UGAGUAAGUCAGAUAGUCGCGUGUACAAGUGCCGAAAGGCCGUACAUGAGGAAAGUCCGGGCUCCACAGGGCAGGAUGCCGGGUAACUCCCGGUGAAGGCGACUUCAAGGAGAGUGCAACAGAAAGAUACCGCCUUAUUGGAGAUGGGAAGCUUCUAACUUCUUACUUCCAAAUAUAAGGUAAGGGUGGAAAGGUGAGGUAAGAGCUCACCAGCGGCAUGGCGACUUGCCGGCUAUGUAAACCCCAUCUGGAGCAACACCGUAUAAGAGACAUAUGGUGGCCCGCCAGUCUCAGGCAGGUGGCUUGAGCUUUACAGA
RNAcentral lists this RNase P RNA (317 nucleotides) under Acetivibrio saccincola. RNAcentral's name for it is "partial RNase P RNA component class A". It matches the Rfam family "Bacterial RNase P class A", at positions 1 to 293 of the family's 367-position model. From Rfam's summary of the family: Ribonuclease P (RNase P) is a ubiquitous endoribonuclease, found in archaea, bacteria and eukarya as well as chloroplasts and mitochondria. Its best characterised activity is the generation of mature 5'-ends of tRNAs by cleaving the 5'-leader elements of precursor-tRNAs. Lineage: Bacteria; Bacillati; Bacillota; Clostridia; Acetivibrionales; Acetivibrionaceae. The record is from RNAcentral.